Molecule: ribosomal RNA, 473 nt
Filed under: uncultured bacterium
Lineage: Bacteria
Description: bacterial SSU rRNA
Rfam family: Bacterial small subunit ribosomal RNA
Source: RNAcentral
GAUGAACGCUGGCGGCGUGCCUCAAACAUGCAAGUCGAGCGGGGCUAUGUAAUAUCGCAAGGUAGAACAUAGCCUAGCGGCGAACGGGUGAGUAACACGUGGGUAACCUGCCUGGAAGACAGGGAUAACGAUUCGAAAGGGUCGCUAAUACCUGAUAAUAUCCUUUCAUCGCAUGGUGAUAGGAAGAAAGGGGAAACCCGCUUUCAGAUGGGCCCGCGUCCCAUCAGCUAGUUGGUAAGGUAAAGGCUUACCAAGGCGACGACGGGUAGCCGGUCUGAGAGGAUGUACGGCCACACUGGGACUGAGAUACGGCCCAGACUCCUACGGGAGGCAGCAGUUGGGAAUCUUAGGCAAUGGACGAAAGUCUGACCUAGCGACGCCGCGUGAGGGAAGAAGGCCUUCGGGUUGUAAACCUCUGUCAUGGGGAAGAAGUAAGUGACGGUACCCAAGAGGAAGCCCCUGCUAACUACGUG